RNAcentral lists this ribosomal RNA (459 nucleotides) under uncultured bacterium. Its description in RNAcentral is "partial 16S ribosomal RNA". It matches the Rfam family "Bacterial small subunit ribosomal RNA", at positions 338 to 795 of the family's 1533-position model. The record is from RNAcentral.
CCUACGGGAGGCAGCAGUGAGGAAUAUUGGUCAAUGGCCGGAAGGCUGAACCAGCCAAGCCGCGUGAAGGACGAAGGUGCCAAGCAUCGUAAACUUCUUUUGUCAGGGGACAAAAUCAGGCACGUGUGCCUGACUGAGGGUACCUGAAGAAAAAGCAUCGGCUAACUCCGUGCCAGCAGCCGCGGUAAUACGGAGGAUGCGAGCGUUAUCCGGAUUUAUUGGGUUUAAAGGGUGCGUAGGCGGUCUGUUAAGUCAGCGGUAAAAGCCCGGGGCUCAACCCCGGCGAGCCGUUGAAACUGGGUGUCUUGAGUUGUCGAGAGGUAUGCGGAAUGCGCGGUGUAGCGGUGAAAUGCAUAGAUAUUGCGCAGAACUCCGAUUGCGAAGGCAGCAUGCCGGCUGCGAACUGACGCUGAGGCACGAAAGCGUGGGUAUCGAACAGGAUUAGAUACCCUAGUAGUC